GCCCUUGUAGCUCAGUAGGUAGAGCGUCCGGCUGUUAACCGGCAGGUCGAAGGUUCGAGUCCUUCCGGGGGCG
This 73-nucleotide transfer RNA is filed under the name archaeon. Its description in RNAcentral is "tRNA-Asn". It matches the Rfam family "tRNA". From Rfam's summary of the family: Transfer RNA (tRNA) molecules are approximately 80 nucleotides in length. Their secondary structure includes four short double-helical elements and three loops (D, anti-codon, and T loops). The record is from RNAcentral.